AGGAUUUCCAUAUAUUGUGGCCCAAUUAAUAAUAUUUAAAUUAGGAUUUGCUAUAGAUAAAGGUCAAUCCUAACAGAUAUAGAACUAUUUGAUAUGGUAUAUUUUAUCCCUAUCCCAUCUAUUUCAGAUUUAAAUAGAAUCCUAAUCAGACUUUGAUGGGAAGUCGAUCUGGACUCUAUAUAAAGGGAUAUUGGUCCUGCCACCUUCUCAUACGCAUUCUGGUGAAGAAUUACCAUCGGUUCCACACCAUACGGCAGAGUGCCUGAGAUAGGGGGAGAAACCAAUUCACCCAAGUUCGGUCCGGACUUUCAGCUUCUGCAAGAUUAAUAAAGAAUCUCUUCUCUAUGGCGCUCUGUGAGUUAUCUUAUAUUCUUAUUUUGAUCCUGAAUUUUGGUAUGUAUUUAUUUUCUAUUUAUUUUACAUACCAUU
RNAcentral lists this long non-coding RNA (429 nucleotides) under Ananas comosus (pineapple). RNAcentral's name for it is "long non-coding RNA (ACOM_LNC025830)". The record is from RNAcentral. Lineage: Eukaryota; Viridiplantae; Streptophyta; Magnoliopsida; Poales; Bromeliaceae.